RNAcentral lists this small nuclear RNA (176 nucleotides) under Crocodylus porosus (Australian saltwater crocodile). Its description in RNAcentral is "U2 spliceosomal RNA (ENSCPRG00005009429.1)". It matches the Rfam family "U2 spliceosomal RNA", at positions 38 to 185 of the family's 192-position model. From Rfam's summary of the family: U2 is a small nuclear RNA (snRNA) component of the spliceosome (involved in pre-mRNA splicing). Complementary binding between U2 snRNA (in an area lying towards the 5' end but 3' to hairpin I) and the branchpoint sequence (BPS) of the intron results the bulging out of an unpaired adenosine, on the BPS, which initiates a nucleophilic attack at the intronic 5' splice site, thus starting the first of two transesterification reactions that mediate splicing. The record is from RNAcentral. Lineage: Eukaryota; Metazoa; Chordata; Crocodylia; Crocodylidae.
AUCUAUUCUUGUCUCUCCAUCUGGACCAGCACUACGCCAUGGUGAUUGUCUCUGAUAUAUCCUCCAUAGGAGAUCUAUAUUGAGCAGAUUUUUUUUGGUAUUGGGUGGUGGAACCGGAGCGUGCUCCAUCCACUCCAUGCAUUGACCUGGUAUUGCAGUGCUUCCAGGACCGGUGC